This is a long non-coding RNA of Mytilus trossulus (common blue mussel), 375 nucleotides long. RefSeq lists it as uncharacterized. The transcript has 4 exons. The record is from RefSeq and is a predicted model, not a curated record. Lineage: Eukaryota; Metazoa; Mollusca; Bivalvia; Mytilida; Mytilidae.
UCAUACAGAUGAUCCAUGUUACAAUAUAAACUGUGGUGUUGGUACCUGUUCUGAUGGAACCUGCUCCUGUCCAGGUGGAUACUCUGGAAGUAUUUGUCAAACUUAUGAUCCAUGUUACGGUGUAAGCUGUGGUGUUGGUACCUGCUCCGGUGGAACAUGUUCAUGCCCAGGUGGUUACUCCGGAAGUAGUUGUCAAACCUAUGAUCCAUGUUACAAUAUAAACUGUGGUGUUGGUACCUGUUCUGGUGGAACCUGCUCAUGUCCAGGAGGAUACUCUGGAAGUAUUUGUCAAACUUAUGAUCCGUGUUACAAUGUUAAUUGUGGAGUCGGUACUUGCUCUGGUGGAACGUGUUCUUGUCCUGAUGGAUAUUCUGG